This 305-nucleotide ribosomal RNA is filed under the name uncultured bacterium. Its description in RNAcentral is "bacterial SSU rRNA". It matches the Rfam family "Bacterial small subunit ribosomal RNA", at positions 333 to 655 of the family's 1533-position model. The record is from RNAcentral.
CAUUUCCUAUGGGGGGCAGCAGUGGGGAAUAUUGCACAAUGGGGAAAACCCUGAUGCAGCAACGCCGCGUGAGUGAAGAAGUAUUUCGGUAUGUAAAGCUCUAUCAGCAGGGAAGAAAAUGACGGUACCUGAGUAAGAGGCCCCGGCUAACUACGUGCCAGCAGCCGCGGUAAUACGUAGGGGGCAAGCGUUAUCCGGGUUUACUGGGUGUAAAGGGAGCGUAGACGGCGAUGCAAGUCUGAAGUGAAAGCCCGGGGCUCAACCCCGGGACUGCUUUGGAAACUGUAUGGCUGGAGUGCUGGAGG